GGCCUGCCCCCUGAGUUUUUAAAUGGCCGCGGUACUUUGACCGUGCAAAGGUAGCAUAAUAAUUAGUUUUUUAAUUGAAAGCUGGAAUGAAAGGUUGGAUGAGAAAAUGACUGUCUCUAUUUAGAUUAUUUAAAAUUUUAUUUUUAAGUAAAAAAGCUUAAAUAUUAAUAGAAGACGAGAAGACCCUAUAGAGUUUUAAUUUAGUUGGGGUGAUUGAAAAAUUUAAUAAACUUUUUUUUUAUAAAACCAUUAAUUUAUGAAUAAAUGAUCCUUUUUUUAAAGAUUAAAAGUAAAAAUUACCUUAGGGAUAACAGCGUAAUUUUUUUAAAGAGUUCAAAUCGAAAAAAAAGAUUGCGACCUCGAUGUUGGAUUAAAAUUAAUUUUUGGUGUAGGAGCUAAG
This 400-nucleotide ribosomal RNA is filed under the name Elytrurus cinctus. Its description in RNAcentral is "partial 16S ribosomal RNA". It matches the Rfam family "Bacterial large subunit ribosomal RNA", at positions 1854 to 2566 of the family's 2925-position model. The record is from RNAcentral. Lineage: Eukaryota; Metazoa; Arthropoda; Insecta; Coleoptera; Curculionidae.